AUUGAACGCUGGCGGCAGGCCUAACACAUGCAAGUCGAACGAGUGGCGGACGGGAGUGUAAUGUCUGGGAAACUGCGUGAUGGAGGGGGAUAACUACUGGAAACGGUAGCUAAUACCGCAUACCAUCAGAUGUGCCCAGAUGGGAUUUGCUAGUGGUUGGGGUAACGGCUCACCAGGGCGACGAUCCCUAGCGGGUCUGAGAGGAUGACCAGCCAAACGGGAAUUGAGACACGGUCCAGACUCCUACGGGAGGCAGAAUUGGGGAAUAUUGCACAAUGGGCGAAAGCCUGAUGCAGCCAUGCCGCGUGUAUGAAGAAGGCCUUCGGGUUGUAAAGUACUUUCAGCGGGGAGGCGUUACCCGCAGAAGAAGCACCGGCUAACUCCGUGCCAGCAGCCGCGGUAAUUC
Molecule: ribosomal RNA, 406 nt
Filed under: uncultured bacterium
Lineage: Bacteria
Description: partial 16S ribosomal RNA
Rfam family: Bacterial small subunit ribosomal RNA
Source: RNAcentral